RNAcentral lists this long non-coding RNA (2326 nucleotides) under Macaca mulatta (Rhesus monkey). RNAcentral describes it as "lncRNA (ENSMMUG00000050261.1)". Lineage: Eukaryota; Metazoa; Chordata; Mammalia; Primates; Cercopithecidae. The record is from RNAcentral.
GCAGAGGCAAAGCGUGGGUGUGAGCUGCAGGGGCAGGCUGCUUUUCCUCAAAAUGAGAAAACGGCAGCACAGGGAAACAAUUUGCUCCACUGGGAAGAGGGGAAAAGGUCACAGAAAGGCAAGUUGACCAGAAGACCCCUCACAGCGUCCCCUUAUCACCACCUCCUCUGUCUCUAGGGAAGGCGUGGGGGCUGGUGGUGCAUUGGCUAGGUACAGGGGCAAUGGCCACAGCUGGGACCACUGUGGAAGCCCCCAUACUGAAGACCCACUGCCUGAUCUCAUCAUUUUACAUCACUCUGUGACCUAUGACUUUGACCCUCUCUCCUAACUGGCCUGGCCUGGUGGGAGCAGUAGCCACUUAUUUAGGUCUAAGGACUCCAGGCUCUAGGGCUUUGCAGAUGCAGGCAGAUUUGGGGCCUGAGCAGAGGCAGGAAUGAACUUGGAACACAACCCUCAGAAGUUCUGAGGUAGUCCUGGCCAUGGGGUCCAUGCAAGGACUACAUCCCACAGCUUUCUGCUUUCCACUCUGCCAUCAGUGCCCACACAUGGUUCAGGAGGUGGAGAUCAUGAGAUGGCACCUGGGUCCACGCACUCGGCUCUAGUUCUGCUCAAGGCUUGUGGUAUUGCUCAUGGAAACAGAGGAUGCUGGAAGCAAAGGGCUGGUUUUGCCGCAGAACCACAGCAUCUGUGGGCGAGUAUGGGGGUUCAGGCCAUGUCCAACCAGCUGGCCCCUGCAGCAGGACCUCCACAGCCUCCAGCCUCUGGGGACUUUAGGACCUAAUGGAGACUUUUAUUGGCACAGCUCUAAGUUGUUCAGCUCAGUCUCUUUCAGCAAUUCCCGAAUUGCAGCCUGUGUGUAAUGAAAACCACCAGCAAAAUUAAAAGCAAUGUGUCCUCUACUCAUAAUUAUUUUUUAAAAUAAAAUUUCAGAAACUAAUUAUCGAAAUUUUAUAAGCUGCAUCUGCCUCAAAUUCCAGUUAAGCCUAGUAGCCCUGCUCUGUUUUAUACAUCAACACCCAAAUUAUUUGUUGCUAUUUAAAACGUAACUUUCUCAUAUUUUUAAGGUUUUACUUGUAAUUUUUAUUACACUCAUACAUGUAAAAUUCUUAAAUGGCUAAGAACAGGUACUACACUUGAUCUUAGCCAAAAGGGCAAGAAUCACUGCAUGCAAAGCUUUUAAGAGCCCAGCAUUACUGCCUGGUUUGUGGUGAAAGCAGCUUCUUUAUUCCACCCUCAGUCCCUGCGGCUGUCACUGUGUCUCUUGGUGUUUCCCUCCUGUGAGUGAACAACAUGCUUGUGUUUCAUGUUGUUUAUUUUGGGGCUCAUCUAUUGAUUUCCUUCAAUGAUGGAGGAGGACUUAACCUUUCUGCUAAGCACAUGCAUGCACCCACACUCUCUGCAUCCUCUUCUCCUCCAGUGUGAUAGCCACACUCUGUGAUGACCUCCAUAUUCCAGGUUGCCAUCCUGUGAUCACGCAGAGCUUAUUCUCAGCUGAGCUGUGUAAUUGUAAAAUGAUUAAAUUUUCCUUCAUGCACUCCCUGUUUCCUCUGGGGUUGGGAGCUGUUGCAUUUUAGUUGUUAUUUCCUUAGACUUCUAGGAAGGGACCACUGUUCUAGCCGCGCACUUCCUAACAGAAAUAAGAAAGACCCUUGCAUGAUCAGGCACAUCGACGGUCCAGCCAUGGCGUCCCUGAGGCCCCCACUGCCUCAGCUCCCAAGGCUCUGGCCACAUCUCCCUGUGUCUCCCUGCUCCUCACCUUCAGGACUCCCUGAGAGACCCUGUGUGGGAGGAAUACUUUGAGACCUGCAAUGUCUGGAGACGUUGCCAUUCUCUCCUUGACCUUUUCUUUCUGGGACCAGGAUUCUAGUCUGCAAGUAACAUCUCUCAGAACUGAGGAGGCCUCGCUUCCCGCCCUGCAGACUCCGGUGUUCAGUAUGGAGGUCUCAGCCAUUCCAGUUCUGUCACGAGAGUGCUGGGGCCUGUUGCUCUGGCCCCUGGGCUGCUGGUGAACUCUGCUUGCAGUGUCUGGGCAAUGAGGAUGUGGAUGACACAGGUGUUUUUACUCUGUUCUUUCAUGCAUGUGCUGCUCUCUCAAUCUGGGCUCCUGUCUGCAGUUCUGGACCACUUGUUUAUUUCUUUGCUGAUCUCUCCUGUCUGACCUCUCUGGUCUCUCUUCUCAUUAAGUGGGUAUUGGAGUUUCUGGGUUCUCUAUUUCUUUUGUCAUUCCUCCCUAAUUCUUCAUCUGUGCAUCUUUUUAUUCUGUUUCUGGGAGAUGUAAAUGAGUCUAAUAUUCAACAUUUCUAUUAAAUUAUUUAUGUGUAUUGUA